GAGGAAGAGGAAAAGGCAGCUAUGGAGGAAGAGAAAGCAACGACAAUAGGCCAAGUAAAGAGAGUUCUUCACAAAAGUAUUUUCAUUGCGACAAGCCAGGCCAUGUUGCGAAGGAUUGUUGGAAUAAAGGAAAACCUCAAUGUUUUAAGUGCAAGAAGUGGUGAAAAGAUUAUAGGACAAAUACAAAUCAAACAAACUUCAUGGAGGAGAAAGAAAGUGGUGAAAAUUAUUUUUUGCUUGCUAAAGUGUCAAAAAAAAGAAGAAUGAUGCACGGUACUUGGACAGUGGUUGUAGCUAGCAACCAUAUGACAUCGGAGAAGGAGAUCUU
RNAcentral lists this long non-coding RNA (328 nucleotides) under Elaeis guineensis (African oil palm). RNAcentral describes it as "long non-coding RNA (EGUI_LNC035475)". Lineage: Eukaryota; Viridiplantae; Streptophyta; Magnoliopsida; Arecales; Arecaceae. The record is from RNAcentral.